UCUACUUCACAGAACGUUUACAAAUGCAAACAUGUGCAUUUUGAAAAAGUUCCAGAUGAUUAAAAAUGUUUUCUUUUGCAUAAUAGAUGGAACUUUUCAAAAUGCAAUAAAACAAUUGGUGACUUUUCAAGGGGCCGCGGUGAUCUCCUCUUUUUAUACUGAAUCAUUUCUUUCAUACGUUGACAGUUUACGUCACACAUGGAAAUGCUGGUUACUAAAUUCCAGUACUUCUGUUCACUUAAGUGUGCCAACACCAAGUACAAACAGUUCAAUUAUUUUAAUGUACAACAACAAAACUUCUUUACCACAGUAUUAAACAAAGUUGACCAAAGUUCAAAAAAUGUUUUAUUUACCGCCCUUGAAUUCUUUUUAUUAACAGGGGAACAUGAAACCGGUAAAAGUGAAGUGCUUCGCAGAAUAAUUGAAGUUUGUUCCACCAAGAAACAUCGUGCUCUUCUUGCCACGCCCAAAGGGAACAUGGAACCGGUAAUAGUGAAGUUUGUUCCACCAAGAAACAUCGUGCUCUUCUUGCCACGGCCACAGGUUUCCUCUGCAGCACGCGUACGAAGCCUUUCUCCCAGAUUCUGUCACCUGUGACACUGUUCAUUCGGCUUUUAAAAUAGGCAUACAUCGUGAACAAGAAAGCUUUACUAAUUGGAAUUUACGAAUGUUUGGCAUAAUACUUUUAGAUGAAAUCAGUAUGGUGGCAAAAAUCAUUCACACCACGUUAUUUCCAGUAUCCGAUCUAAGGCAAGACCACCAAUUACAGUUCUUUGCGGUGACCCAUUGCAAUUGCAACCCUUCGGACAAAAUCAACAAGACUGUAAAAACUUAUUUGACGACAAACUACUCAUGUCUCUUUGCCGUAAAUUCACCCUUUUCACUCAGUUUGAAUCAACAGAGCAUUGGUUACUGGAAACCAACUAAACAACAAUUGAACCCUUUUUUAUGCAGGUCUUUUACAGUCAGAUUCAAAUCAUCCAACAGAGGACGAUGUUGUAUCUGUGUACAUACGCAAUCCCAACACCAAAUUUUUAACAUUUACCAACAAGGAAAGUGCUUUCAUCAAUGACACCAUAUGUUGCCACCAUCUCUUUCGUACAACACCACCUUUAUGUGUUUUCUUAUUAUGGGAAACAACAAAUCAGGGCCAAGACCUAUUUAUGAAGGAAUGUUCAUGAGAAUAACAGAGAACAGGGAUAAAUCGCGACGAUACGUAAAUGGUCAAUGUGGCAUUGUUGGCAAAGUUUUCCAAAAAAAUGUCUACUUGGAGAUUGAAAACUCUUGCUUUAUCCGAAUCUAUCCCAUUUCCAAUGAAAAUGGCGGGCGAAAUGUACUACCCAUUUACACCAGCAUAUGCUUCCACCAUCCACAAGUCGCAAGGACAAACAGUACAAAAGGUCUGCAUCUGGUUUGAUACUCCAUCUCUGCCAGAAGGCUGUGCAUAUAUGUUGCAUUAUCUAGAGUUAAACAAAAAAUGAGUUUGACUUUCCUUGUGCCGCCAACUCCCUGCUCAAUGUUUUCCAUUAAAACGUCGCAUUUUAAUCUAACCAACCAAUUGGAUUUUUUCCCAAUCAAACACAAAUAUGAUAAUGUUUUUUCAGUUGUUCCACACCUCUCGAACAAGCAUAACAUAAAUCUGACAUUUCCAAAAUAAAGUUAUUUCAGCUUAUUUGCUCUACGCGAGGCUUCCGUCCUCACUGAGCUCUAGGACACCUGCGUUACUCUUUGACAGAUGUACCACCUCAGUCAAACUCCCGGCUUAACGGUCUUCAGAUCGA
Non-coding RNA from Ciona intestinalis (vase tunicate), 1781 nucleotides. The record is from RefSeq and is a predicted model, not a curated record. Lineage: Eukaryota; Metazoa; Chordata; Ascidiacea; Phlebobranchia; Cionidae.